CGAUGUUUUUGUGUGUAAUUUAAUUACAAAAGCACUCGUCAAGUUUCGGGCGAAAACGAGUUAAAACGGAAAUUCUACGCGAUUUCCAAGUUUCACUUAAAGUGAAUAGUAACUCGAUUUUUCGGAGAAGCCGCGGUGAGAAGUUGGCUUCUGGCUCGUACCGGACUCUGUUCAUAGCAAUCCAAUAGCUCGUUUCGACCGGUUCAGCUAUUCUGGAACCAUUGGCGCUGACGGAUUUUGAGUUUGACGCACGGAUUUCGAUAAAAUCCAAAAAUACAUGUUUUAUAUGUAUUUUUGUGUGUUUCUUUCGAUUGGAACGAAAGGUUGGAUUUUGUCGUGAAUCCGUGGUCGAUCGAGACGAAACGAAAUCGCAGCUUUGUUGUCUCCGUUGUGCUGACCGCACUGGUGCAAUCCGUUCGCAAAUCUGACGGACGGAUCUGCAGAGAUCGCGCGUUAAUCGAGGAGAGGUCGGUAGUGGCAAAACGAUAUUUUCGCGAAAGUCGCGAUAUUUUAUGUACCGUUUCGCGAGGGAUCACACGUGGAGGGGCGUUCUUGCGUUUUAGUCGUACUGUGAGGGUCUCGGAUAGAAAUUCUAAUGUUUGGGGGACCUUUUUGCAAAGUUACACCUCGGUAUUUAUAGUUCCUAGGGUUUUGAUCCCCUAACCCUAACCCUAGCCAGCCCCCAGCUACCCUAGUCGCCCCAGCCACCUUCACCCUUCCCCCUGCCCUUGCUGCACCACCCCCGGCCGCCGCCGGCUGAGCCCCGGCCGCCGCCGAGCCANNN
Molecule: long non-coding RNA, 784 nt
Filed under: Ananas comosus (pineapple)
Lineage: Eukaryota; Viridiplantae; Streptophyta; Magnoliopsida; Poales; Bromeliaceae
Description: long non-coding RNA (ACOM_LNC007003)
Source: RNAcentral